RNAcentral lists this ribosomal RNA (244 nucleotides) under uncultured bacterium. RNAcentral describes it as "partial 16S ribosomal RNA". It matches the Rfam family "Bacterial small subunit ribosomal RNA", at positions 57 to 305 of the family's 1533-position model. The record is from RNAcentral.
GCAAGUCGAGCGGUAACAGAGAGUGCUUGCACUCUGCUGACGAGCGGCGGACGGGUGAGUAACGCGUAGGAAUCUACCUUUUAGUUGGGGAUAGCCAGUAGAAAUGCUGAUUAAUACCGAAUACGGUCUACGGACGAAAGGGGGCUUCGGCUCUCGCUGAAAGAGGAGUCUGCGUUGGAUUAGCUUGUUGGUGAGGUAAAAGCUCACCAAGGCGACGAUCAGUAGCUGGUCUGAGAGGAUGAAC